Molecule: ribosomal RNA, 549 nt
Filed under: uncultured bacterium
Lineage: Bacteria
Description: bacterial SSU rRNA
Rfam family: Bacterial small subunit ribosomal RNA
Source: RNAcentral
UAGGGAAUCUUCGGCAAUGGACGGAAGUCUGACCGAGCAACGCCGCGUGAGUGAAGAAGGUUUUCGGAUCGUAAAGCUCUGUUGUAAGAGAAGAACGAGUGUGAGAGUGGAAAGUUCACACUGUGACGGUAUCUUACCAGAAAGGGACGGCUAACUACGUGCCAGCAGCCGCGGUAAUACGUAGGUCCCGAGCGUUGUCCGGAUUUAUUGGGCGUAAAGCGAGCGCAGGCGGUUAGAUAAGUCUGAAGUUAAAGGCUGUGGCUUAACCAUAGUACGCUUUGGAAACUGUUUAACUUGAGUGCAAGAGGGGAGAGUGGAAUUCCAUGUGUAGCGGUGAAAUGCGUAGAUAUAUGGAGGAACACCGGUGGCGAAAGCGGCUCUCUGGCUUGUAACUGACGCUGAGGCUCGAAAGCGUGGGGAGCAAACAGGAUUAGAUACCCUGGUAGUCCACGCCGUAAACGAUGAGUGCUAGGUGUUAGACCCUUUCCGGGGUUUAGUGNCGCAGCUAACGCAUUAAGCACUCCGCCUGGGGAGUACNACCGCAAGGNU